Molecule: ribosomal RNA, 410 nt
Filed under: Streptomyces umbrinus
Lineage: Bacteria; Bacillati; Actinomycetota; Actinomycetes; Kitasatosporales; Streptomycetaceae
Description: bacterial SSU rRNA
Rfam family: Bacterial small subunit ribosomal RNA
Source: RNAcentral
UGGCUCAGGACGAACGCUGGCGGCGUGCUUAACACAUGCAAGUCGAACGAUGAAGCCCUUCGGGGUGGAUUAGUGGCGAACGGGUGAGUAACACGUGGGCAAUCUGCCCUUCACUCUGGGACAAGCCCUGGAAACGGGGUCUAAUACCGGAUAACACUCCUGCCUGCAUGGGUGGGGGUUAAAAGCUCCGGCGGUGAAGGAUGAGCCCGCGGCCUAUCAGCUUGUUGGUGAGGUAGUGGCUCACCAAGGCGACGACGGGUAGCCGGCCUGAGAGGGCGACCGGCCACACUGGGACUGAGACACGGCCCAGACUCCUACGGGAGGCAGCAGUGGGGAAUAUUGCACAAUGGGCGAAAGCCUGAUGCAGCGACGCCGCGUGAGGGAUGACGGCCUUCGGGUUGUAAACCUCU